CUUGAAAGGGACAGUGUGCUAAUCCUGUCAGACGCGCUGUGUGUUUAUUGUAGCUCUUUAAUGGAGAGGGAGCAGGAAAUGCUGAGAGAGAGUAGAGAGGCUAGAGUUGGCUCUCAGGAAGAGUAGCCUAGGUUCCUGCUGGCUUGCUCAUCUGUCAAGAUGGAGGACUGCCUGAACACCAGCGACUAUCUGAUGAUUAAUAAGCCCUAGCUCUUAUGUGGAGUUUUCCAUCAGCAGAUCUCAAAGGAGAUUCAUAAUUGUUUCUCCAUUCCAUCCGGUCUUUUUCAAGAAGCAAAUGGAAUCCCUGAAGGUGAACACAAAGAGCUGGCACGUGUGAGAUUCUCUGCACAGGCCUGUCCCACUGAGUAUUGCUGUUCCACUGUGUGCUUUGGAAACUGUGACUCUGUAAGCAAUUAGAGAGAGAGGCCAGUUAAAGGCAAGGGAGAGAGAUGCCAGUUUGACUUACCAGACCUAGAUCGUCGAGAAGCAGAAUGCAGUGUCGAAGAAAAAGAAGAAGAAGAAGACGACAACAACAACAACGACAAACAUAAGUAUCUCCCACUGUCGUCCCCAAAAUUAGAUCAACAUUUAUGAAUUGCUCAAAGUCUUUAACAUUUUUCACAAAAGAAUCUUCACCAGACCGGCCUCUCCUUUCACUAAUAAUUGGGAGUACAGUAUCAGGUCUCUAAGGGCAGACUUCCAUGCAAACAGGAGCGACCAAGAACUCAAGUGAUUUAUCAAGAUCCAAUUGCCUCAGGUAGACCACAUCAGUGAUACAGUAACCACAUCAAGACAUCAUAAACAUCUUGUGAACAACAUAAGAACCACAUCAGUCAUGGUGUGUAUAAUAUUAGAUAUGUGAAAUGUGGCUAUUUCUUUUGCAAUAUACUAACCACAUUAGCAAUAUACAGAAUGAACAUGAAUCAUGCAAAGUACAUGCUUAUGUAUUCCCUGAUGUGAUUUUUUUUGGCUAAAUAUUUGUUUAUCAGUUGUGUUGUUUUUGGAUUAAAGAUGAUAAGCAAAAUGUAAAACUUAGAUGAUAUGAAUACUGUGAUGUCUCAGGUCUUGAACUUAGCCCUGUGAGUGACAAGAUGGCUGUUGCAUCCUGGCCUCUACCCGCUGUCUACUGAAACCUGGUGGACUAAGAAGCUAGUAGUACUGUAGCUUCAGCCAAUGCACCAUCCAUAGGAACCCUGGCUGGAGGAGGGCCCGGUGCACUGAUUGGUCCAACCACACUAUUUAAGCCAAAAGGAUGCACAGGAAGCUGUCUGAGCAACUAUGUUACUUCCUGAAAUGACUGCUUGUUCUGGCUCCUGCCUCAGUCCUGUCUUUGCUGUCUCCACCAUGUUCCUUCUCUGUGCCUGAUCCUUGUCUCUUUUCUGGUGCUUGUCCUUAUGCCGUGCUUCUGUCAGUUACCAGUCCUAGCUCUGACCCUGGCUUGACCCUUGGCUCUGCCAUUUGGUCUCUGAUCCUGGCUCUGACCCUCACCUUUGAUUCCUGGCUCUGGUACUUGGCAAUUGACUCUGGUGCUGACCCUUGGCUUUGUUGCCCAUCCUGGAUACCUGCUCUGACCAUUAGUCCCACAUUCCAGUCCAUAAUACAUACCCCUUUAGGACAAAAAUGGCAGAAUUGCAACAAGUACCUCUUUUUUCCUGUGGGUUUCAAGGAACUGGUGGAAGGUAAUGCUGUAAUAUCAUUUACAUGUGGUUCCCACAUGCACUUACGUACUUUGCAUGAUACCUUUCCAUCUGAUGUUUCAUAGGUAGUUUGUGCCUUAAAGUCAAUGGAGUGCGACAGGUUGGGGACUAUAGCACUGGGCAGCAAUGGAGGGAGGUGUUGUGCCUGUAUAAGGUGAAAUACCUCCAGGAGACCCUGAAGGAAGAAUAGUCAGGAACGGUACUUGCUAUUCCUGUACAAAAACUGCUAUGUCUGUACACUGCUAUGUCCCGCACCACAAUGUCGCCAGCUCCCAACAGGAGCACACUUCUGUUUACAAAGCAGAAGCAGCUGCAUUUUGGCUGUUUCCUGUGCAGAUGAGGAUGGGAAGUAGAGUCUCCCUUCAUCCUCUCCUUUCCUCCUCCUCUCCGCCCCCUUUCACCCCAGAAUGCACUUGCCAUACAGAGCAGGGGUCAAUAACUUUGUCUAUGUUGCUGGUGUGGUUGAGAAGUUGCAACUAGGAUUUAGAUCCCUCACAUACAGCAUUACCCCAUAAGGCACACAUGAGUCUGAUGUCUUAGGCUCAUGUAAGUUAGAGAUGGAAAAGCCACAUCAGUUUAUAUAGUCCCGCCUGCUGCCAGUACAGGAUCUUUCAGUAGGAUACAUAUAUUUAUGCUUUUUUGUCACUUUUCAGUUAAACAGACUCAUUUACAUGGUCUUAGAGAGAGCUGGAGAACAGUAAACAAAGAUUUCACUGAUUUCCCCUACUACAUGUGCUUUGACUUGAUUUUCAUCCCCCAUUCCUUUUGCAACUAACACUGGUCUACAAUUUUUGAGAAGUUGUCUGC
Non-coding RNA from Chrysemys picta bellii (western painted turtle), 2504 nucleotides. The record is from RefSeq and is a predicted model, not a curated record. NCBI's taxonomy places the organism in Eukaryota, Metazoa, Chordata, Testudines, Emydidae.